This is a non-coding RNA of Picea glauca (white spruce), 122 nucleotides long. Lineage: Eukaryota; Viridiplantae; Streptophyta; Pinopsida; Pinales; Pinaceae. The record is from Rfam.
AUGUAAUGUAAUGCCUACAACAUUAAUGCACUAGAUACCAUUAGAAAUUUAUAGUUAAUAAUUAUUGGGAUAGAGUAAUAUUAUGAUGGGUGACUUCCUAGGAAGUCCUAGUGUUUUACAUG